This is a long non-coding RNA of Mauremys reevesii (Reeves's turtle), 511 nucleotides long. RefSeq lists it as uncharacterized. NCBI's taxonomy places the organism in Eukaryota, Metazoa, Chordata, Testudines, Geoemydidae. The record is from RefSeq and is a predicted model, not a curated record. The transcript has 4 exons.
AGCAGCCAUCACACUCUAUGCACUGUGGCUCAGUGUACCAGAGGUAGGAAUAAAGUGGCAAGCCAGAACUUCCUCCCAGAAUUACUUCUUGAGAAGUACUUUCCAUUCAAAAGAGAUACACCCCAUCUGCUCUAACAAAAUCAAAGUAACUAAGUUUACAGAUGAGUACAGCCUCCUUGGUCUGGAUUUCUGACUUUUUCACUCAUGAAAGAUGUAGUUCGUUCCUUGUACAAGCACAACAGCUACCUCUUAUAUAGCGCUUUUCAUCUUUUGACUUCAAGCCCUUUACAAAGUAAGAUGCUAUCCUGGUACCGAAAGGGAAGCAACAUAUCCAACAUCAUCCACUGUCAGCGGCUGGGAAUAGAACCCAGCUAUGGCUCUGCAUGCAAGUGCAGCAAAAUUUACACAGCAGACUUAUGCAGGGUUCUAACCCUGCUAACAGCAUGAGUCAACUGAAAAGCCGAGUUACCUGUUCCCACUGAUUUCAUUAAAUAUUGUGUAUGGACACCCA